GACGAACGCUGGUUGCGUGCGUAACACAUGCAAGUCGAACGGAAAGGCCCUGCUUUUGUGGGGUGCUCGAGUGGCGAACGGGUGAGUAACACGUGAGUAACCUGCCCUUGACUUUGGGAUAACUUCAGGAAACUGGGGCUAAUACCGGAUAGGUGCUCCUGCUGCAUGGUGGGGGUUGGAAAGUUUCGGCGGUUGGGGAUGGACUCGCGGCUUAUCAGCUUGUUGGUGGGGUAGUGGCUUACCAAGGCUUUGACGGGUAGCCGGCCUGAGAGGGUGACCGGCCACAUUGGGACUGAGAUACGGCCCAGACUCCUACGGGAGGCAGCAGUGGGGAAUAUUGCACAAUGGGCGGAAGCCUGAUGCAGCAACGCCGCGUGCGGGAUGACGGCCUUCGGGUUGUAAACCGCUUUCGCCUGUGACGAAGCGUGAGUGACGGUAAUGGGUAAAGAAGCACCGGCUAACUACGUGCCAGCAGCCGCGGUGAUACGUAGGGUGCGAGCGUUGUCCGGAUUUAUUGGGCGUAAAGGGUUCGUAGGUGGUUGAUCGCGUCGGAAGUGUAAUCUUGGGGCUUAACCCUGAGCGUGCUUUCGAUACGGGUUGACUUGAGGAAGGUAGGGGAGAAUGGAAUUCCUGGUGGAGCGGUGGAAUGCGCAGAUAUCAGGAGGAACACCAGUGGCGAAGGCGGUUCUCUGGGCCUUUCCUGACGCUGAGGAGCGAAAGCGUGGGGAGCGAACAGGCUUAGAUACCCUGGUAGUCCACGCUGUAAACGGUGGGUACUAGGUGUGGGGUCCAUUCCACGGGUUCCGUGCCGUAGCUAACGCUUUAAGUACCCCGCCUGGGGAGUACGGCCGCAAGGCUAAAACUCAAAGGAAUUGACGGGGCCCCGCACAAGCGGCGGAGCAUGCGGAUUAAUUCGAUGCAACGCGUAGAACCUUACCUGGGUUUGACAUGGAUCGGGAGUGCUCAGAGAUGGGUGUGCCUCUUUUGGGGUCGGUUCACAGGUGGUGCAUGCCUGUCGUCAGCUCGUGUCGUGAGAUGUUGGGUUAAGUCCCGCAACGAGCGCAACCCUUGUUCACUGUUGCCAGCACGUUAUGGUGGGGACUCAGUGGAGACCGCCGGGGUCAACUCGGAGGAAGGUGGGGAUGACGUCAAGUCAUCAUGCCCCUUAUGUCCAGGGCUUCACGCAAGCUACAAUGGCUGGUACAGAGAGUGGCGAGCCUGUGAGGGUGAGCGAAUCUCGGAAAGCCGGUCUCAGUUCGGAUUGGGGUCUGCAACUCGACCUCAUGAAGUCGGAGUCGCUAGUAAUCGCAGAUCAGCAACGCUGCGGUGAAUACGUUCCCGGGGCU
RNAcentral lists this ribosomal RNA (1346 nucleotides) under uncultured bacterium. RNAcentral describes it as "partial 16S ribosomal RNA". It matches the Rfam family "Bacterial small subunit ribosomal RNA", at positions 28 to 1381 of the family's 1533-position model. The record is from RNAcentral.